Molecule: ribosomal RNA, 439 nt
Filed under: uncultured bacterium
Lineage: Bacteria
Description: partial 16S ribosomal RNA
Rfam family: Bacterial small subunit ribosomal RNA
Source: RNAcentral
CCUACGAGAGGCUGCAGUGGGGAAUAUUGCACAAUGGGGGAAACCCUGAUGCAGCGACGCCGCGUGAGUGAAGAAGUAUUUCGGUACGUAAAGCUCUAUCAGCAGGGAAGAAAAUGACGGUACCUGACUAAGAAGCCCCGGCUAACUACGUGCCAGCAGCCGCGGUAAUACGUAGGGGGCAAGCGUUAUCCGGAUUUACUGGGUGUAAAGGGAGCGGAGGCGGAGGUGCAAGUCAGCGGUCAAAUUGCGGGGCUCAACCCCGUACUGCCGUUGAAACUGCAUCCCUUGAGUGCGCGAGAAGUAUGCGGAAUGCGUGGUGUAGCGGUGAAAUGCAUAGAUAUCACGCAGAACUCCGAUUGCGAAGGCAGCAUACUGGCGCGCAACUGACGCUCAUGCACGAAAGCGUGGGUAUCGAACAGGAUUAGAUACCCUAGUAGUC